This 510-nucleotide long non-coding RNA is filed under the name Mytilus galloprovincialis (Mediterranean mussel). Lineage: Eukaryota; Metazoa; Mollusca; Bivalvia; Mytilida; Mytilidae. The record is from RNAcentral.
GUCCGCAAUAAGUGGUGUAUAUAAAUGUAUUAUACUUUGAAAUAAAUUAGCUUUUAAAGCACAUGCACUUGUCUCAGAAAUGUUUUCCCCAUAUAUACCUUAAUGUAUUAAGGUAGAUAGGAAUUUUUUUCUGAGACAAGUGCCUGUGUUUCAAACUGUUAAUUUCGUCACUUAGACCAAAAGUUGUUUACGUCUAUGUCCUUUGUUAUAUGGGGGUCUGUUCUCAUUUGAAAUCUUUAUCGAUCAUAGAUUGUAAGAAAAUGGCAUAAAACACACCAACAAAAUAUCUCUUGUAUAUAAAGAACAAUAACUCAUAUCAGUUGGCCAUGCUCAUCGAUCACUUGCAAGUAAAACUUGGUUUUAUGACUAAUUUAUACUGUGUACCGUUUUCUCUAUUGGCUCGUUUGUUUAUUUCGCUGUUUCAUAUGUAAAGGUACUUUUUAUGCUAAACACAGUUUCCCUGUCAUGUAGCUUUUCCAAUUUCACUAUAUAAAUGCACGAAUCCGAUAU